UGGGGAAUUUUGGACAAUGGGCGAAAGCCUGAUCCAGCAAUGCCGCGUGUGUGAAGAAGGCCUUCGGGUUGUAAAGCACUUUUGUCCGGAAAGAAAUCCUUGGCUCUAAUACAGUCGGGGGAUGACGGUACCGGAAGAAUAAGCACCGGGCUAACUACGUGCCAGCAGCCGCGGUAAUACGUAGGGUGCAAGCGUUAAUCGGAAUUACUGGGCGUAAAGCGUGCGCAGGCGGUUUGCUAAGACCGAUGUGAAAUCCCCGGGCUCAACCUGGGAACUGCAUUGGUGACUGGCAGGCUAGAGUAUGGCAGGAGGGGGGUAGAAUUCCACGUGUAGCAGUGAAAGUGCGUAGAGAUGUGGAGGAAUACCGAUGGCGAAGGCAGCCCCCUGGGCCAAAUACUGACGCUCAUGCACGAAAGCGUGGGGGAGCAAACAGGAUUCAGAUACCCUGGGUAGUCCACGCCCUAAAGCGAUGUCAACUAGUUGUUGGGGACUUCAUUUCCUUAGUAACGUAGCUAACGCGUGAAGUUGACCGCCUGGGGAGUACGGUCGCAAGAUU
This 556-nucleotide ribosomal RNA is filed under the name uncultured bacterium. RNAcentral's name for it is "partial 16S ribosomal RNA". It matches the Rfam family "Bacterial small subunit ribosomal RNA", at positions 355 to 895 of the family's 1533-position model. The record is from RNAcentral.